RNAcentral lists this long non-coding RNA (473 nucleotides) under Homo sapiens (human). Its description in RNAcentral is "non-protein coding lnc-DCDC1-4:1". The record is from RNAcentral. Lineage: Eukaryota; Metazoa; Chordata; Mammalia; Primates; Hominidae.
AUGUACACACUUUCCUACUAGAGCAGUCUUACACUUCACUGCACAUAUGUCUAUUUUAUUAGAUAGCAAGGAAGUGGCCUUGCUAUUGGCCCUUGGACAAACUAGUUCCAGUAAUAAAAGUGAAUGAUCAUACAGUUUCUGAUAUUCUUUCAGUAAACUUAUGUCCUUUUUCUACAAAUAGAUUUAAUGUUUAAAUGUAUCUAAACGCAGAGUUAAUUUGGAGAUUUUUGGCAAAUAUUUGUACAUAAGACUUUCCAGAAUCUUAAAAUCGCUUACGUAAGUGAAAUUCAAAUUUUACAUUCUUGUAUACAUUUACUUUUCAAGAAAGUAAUUUGUGAUUAAAAAAAAAAGUUGCAUUAUCUCUUAUUAAACCCAGUAGUGUAUUUUUCUUCAUAAAAGGUUUACAAGUAAAACCAGUCAAAAGAAUAGUGAAAAUAAAUUCCUUCCCCAUACAUAGAUCAUUUUGGUCUGGU